RNAcentral lists this long non-coding RNA (539 nucleotides) under Bos taurus (domestic cattle). RNAcentral's name for it is "long non-coding RNA NONBTAT020561". Lineage: Eukaryota; Metazoa; Chordata; Mammalia; Artiodactyla; Bovidae. The record is from RNAcentral.
AUUGGAAGUUUCUGCUGGAACUGUCCAUCAAUUCUGAUCUAAAAUAUAUUUAAUUUCUCUCCUAUCUCCUUUGGAUUUGACAGGUAUAUCCCUCAUUCAAGACAAAGCUAUCAGCUGUUCUCUAGUCGGAUGGAGAAAAUAGAGUUCUAUAUUUCAGUAAUAGCUCAAAAGUCCUAGAAAAACUUUUUUCAAACAAUUUUCUAUCAUGUAUCUUUUUUUCUAUCCCAGAAGACUCAAAAUGAAAUAACUCCUCUGAGAACAUUCUCUUGGCAUCAUCUUUGAGCAGCUAGAGACUAUAAUGAAAGCUUUUAAGACAUUGAGAGAGAAGUCAAGCAAUUUAAUUUCUUUCCAAAAUUACUAAAAAUGUCAUAAAAUAAUUAAAAUGCCUUUUUUUCAGUUGGACACUCCCCUUGUCUUGUGUGUUAGAUCAUCGGUUACAAAGAAUCAGAAUGUGUGAGGAUUAGAAACAAGUGAAUCCCUUUGAUUUAAUGUAGGCCCUUUUCUGAUCUCACUUAACAAGUAAAGACCAUAUUGACUCU